GGAGGGGAGGGCAAAGACCCGAAACAAUUGGUGGAGCCCGGGCAGUGAAAACAGCUGGAAAGCGAAGACGAAGGAGAGGAAGGAGGGGAAGAAAAGGAGAGUUGAGCAGUGAUUCAGCUGGCAGCCACUGAGACAUCUGAAUCUUCUGCCAUAAAUCUGCAUUCGCAACAAGUGUUUAAUGGCUACCGAGGAGCUGAAAUGGAUCCUACGUAUCUUCCCCAUUGGCCGGGCUUUCCUAUCUUUCCAUCUUGACGGACUUCACUUUUGAUUGGCUCACUAUGUCCUGCAAUCAAAGUAAUGACACCGUACGCAGAUCCAUUUAAAGCUGCGACACGGAUGUGGACUGGUCGUCGACAGCGCCUCGCCGCAAGACCGUAAAUCGAGUUUCAUCACAAGUGAGUUCACUUUUUCACAUGUUAGACUUUUGUGUGUGAAAACAGUAUUCUGCCCGUGUUCCACAUUCAGUUCUGUAGUAUUUUUUACUCAUUAGGCCUGAUGGUGUACAUCUGGAUUUCUCAGCGCUCAGCAAUCAGUUUGUUUCUUUUGGAUUAUCCCCAGUUUAUUCCAGCGUCUGCACCACAAACGUCCCGCCGCCACAUCCAACUUUGUGUCACGGUUCUCCUACUUGGUCAGACUUAGGUAGUAAUAUAAAGAGACACAGUUUAACGCUUUUUCUCAUGCCCGAGUUGAUACUGGACCUGAGUGGAGGCGCUUAGAAAUAAAAUUAGGACACGUGGAUGAUGAGAGCAUCAAAUUUCAGCCUCAACACGUCAACGAGCCCUCAGGAGCAAUGUGGUACCGAAAUGUGUGAAAGUGGCGUGUUUAUUUUUGGAUCCAACGUCUACUACAAAACUAAGGGCUCUAAUAGUCAACGUAAAUGACUGCGGUUACAUUACCUUCGCAAACUCUUCCCCCAAAAGCAGUGAGUGAUGAAAUUUAAAAAACAAACAAUGACCUGUCUGGAUGGAUUAAUAUGUGGACAUUAAUCUAAGUUAGAGGUAGAGUUAUACUACGCUUCUCAGACAGCAUGUUUCGGAAAGUGUUCAUAGAGUUGGACUGUGAACCAAGAUAGCAAUAGCAGUUAGCAUUAGCCAAGGUUUUAGCAGAAACAGCAGUAGCCUGAUUGACUAGCGAUAUCCAUACAUUGUUCUUUCUGUUUAGGUAUGGCGCGAAUGAAGCAGCUACCUUGAUAGUAUCCCACGGUCAAAUUCAGACGAAAAAUAAGUUGUUUCACCUUCUGUGUGAGCCUAGCAUAAUACUGUAUUGCUCAACUAAAGGUUUUUGUCAUAUGGAAAGUAAUAGCACGCCUACACACAAUGAAACGCUUAGUCAAAUGUCAACUCAGCGUAAAUUCAUUUAAAAAAAAUGACACAGUUAUUACGUGCAGUUUGAACGUUUAGCACUUUUGAUUGCAGCUUAGCAUUGCGUCAUCAGAAGUGAGCUAAAGUAGCAUACAGUAAAGUAUGUGUGCCAAAUGUCACCCCAAAUUAAAAUAAAUGUCCAUUUGUUGUGAUAAUCGCACAUAAUCACAUCUCAGUGUCCCCAACUCUAUUUCACAGCUGCAGGAACGACAACACUUUGUGUCAAAUGACUCAAAAUGUGUAAUUAGCCAAUUUGCUGACUACUGCAGAAUCGCCUGCACUUCUUUUUCUCCGCUUGUGACGUCUCAGAGAGGGCAACGGCUUAGGUAAUGUCUCCUCCCGGCAUUGGAAAACUGCACAUAUGACCUUUAAUGCUCAGCGGCAAUUCCCUGACUUUUUGCACACUUCAGCGACGAUGUUUUAUUAUUCGCUUGCCCGUCUAGACUGCGACUAAGGCUGGACAGGAAGCAGAAGGGCAAGCGCUUCCUGCAGUGACCUGCUUUAUGGUUUGGCUUCCCGAGGCCCAACAGAUGGCUGAAGGGGAUUUUUGCAAGACCACUUGAGUGUGUGCGUGUCGCCAUGGGCCUGAUGAGUCAACAAUGGUGUCAUUAAAAUCUGCACUGGAAGGAAGAAUUGAAGUAUUAUUCCGAAAAACUCAUCAGCAAGUCUACUCAAUUCAUCCGACCUGCGACAUUACUCAGAUUGGUUGGUAUGCUAAUAAUGUUUAUGGACUUGUUUUUGCUCUCAAUCCCCGCUGCACCUGAAAGUUGAAACCAGAGGUUUCCCAAGUCAGGCUUACUGUGACUACAGCCAAAUUAGCU
This is a long non-coding RNA of Syngnathus typhle (broad-nosed pipefish), 2182 nucleotides long. RefSeq lists it as uncharacterized. The transcript is spliced from 3 exons. NCBI's taxonomy places the organism in Eukaryota, Metazoa, Chordata, Actinopteri, Syngnathiformes, Syngnathidae. The record is from RefSeq and is a predicted model, not a curated record.